GCUUCAGGCAUUACGGAUAGCUGUACGUGUCGUUGUGUACUCGCUCUUAUCCGACUUUUAUUCGUGUUCUUUACGAAAAACUAUCAGACAUUUCAGCACCUAAGUGGUGGAAGCGCGUGGUCGCUAUCUUAGUGACUGGAUUUAUAGUGUUGUUACAGUGAGAGUGGUGUGUGGCUCCUCGCACUGCGACCACUCCGUCCGGGGUCUGUCGGCGUCGUCCUCCGGCACUCGAGACAGUCGUCGGAAAGAGGUCGCAUUAAAAAUAUCGUCAAGUACCUACUUGGAACUGGGUGUGAGCCCAGAUACGGUGUGUGUAGUUUUAUGUAAUCGUAAUAAUACUUUUGAAGCGUAUGUCAAGUGGAAUUUUGUGAAGUAUCGUGUGUGUGCCCUUCACGGAUUGAAUUAAGUGUACAAAUUUUUCUGAAGAAAAGUGAAGUGUUUGCUGCGCAAAAUACUUUCUUAUUGUUAUGCUCAGUUAACAAGUGACCAGUGUCCUCAUUGGAUUGUAAACUUUACUGGAUUAAAACAUUCCCAUGGCAACUGUGGUGGAAAUUAAAAAGUGGGAGACAUGAACGCAUCCCCGCAUAGUCAUUCGCAUCAAGCAGGGUAGCUGUUAUAAGGUAAGUAGAUGUACCUUUUCUCCUUCUUUGUCCCUAUCUCUUCGAAGUUGACACGUAGGCGCGUAUAAUGCUACAAAAUAUCAAAUAUACUAAAAACUACCUCACCUUGUGACUUACAAAGAAGGGUAAAGACAAGAUGAAAAUUUU
Long non-coding RNA from Papilio polytes (common Mormon), 767 nucleotides. RefSeq lists it as uncharacterized. The transcript is spliced from 4 exons. Lineage: Eukaryota; Metazoa; Arthropoda; Insecta; Lepidoptera; Papilionidae. The record is from RefSeq and is a predicted model, not a curated record.